RNAcentral lists this ribosomal RNA (784 nucleotides) under Domibacillus tundrae. RNAcentral's name for it is "bacterial SSU rRNA". It matches the Rfam family "Bacterial small subunit ribosomal RNA", at positions 98 to 866 of the family's 1533-position model. The record is from RNAcentral. Lineage: Bacteria; Bacillati; Bacillota; Bacilli; Caryophanales; Bacillaceae.
GCGGACGGGUGAGUAACACGUGGGCAACUUGCCCCUGCAGAUUGGGAUAACUCCGGGAAACCGGGGCUAAUACCGAAUAACAUGGAAGAUCUCAUGAUCUUCUUUUGAAAGGCGGCUUUGGCUGCCACUGCAGGAUGGGCCCGCGGCGCAUUAGCUAGUUGGUGGGGUAACGGCCCACCAAGGCCACGAUGCGUAGCCGACCUGAGAGGGUGAUCGGCCACACUGGGACUGAGACACGGCCCAGACUCCUACGGGAGGCAGCAGUAGGGAAUCUUCCGCAAUGGACGAAAGUCUGACGGAGCAACGCCGCGUGAGUGAAGAAGGUUUUCGGAUCGUAAAACUCUGUUGUCAGGGAAGAACAAGUACGGGAGUAACUGCCCGUACCUUGACGGUACCUGGCCAGAAAGCCACGGCUAACUACGUGCCAGCAGCCGCGGUAAUACGUAGGUGGCAAGCGUUGUCCGGAAUUAUUGGGCGUAAAGCGCGCGCAGGCGGCCUUUUAAGUCUGAUGUGAAAGCCCCCGGCUCAACCGGGGAGGGUCAUUGGAAACUGGAAGGCUUGAGUGCAGAAGAGAAGAGCGGAAUUCCACGUGUAGCGGUGAAAUGCGUAGAGAUGUGGAGGAACACCAGUGGCGAAGGCGGCUCUUUGGUCUGUAACUGACGCUGAGGCGCGAAAGCGUGGGGAGCGAACAGGAUUAGAUACCCUGGUAGUCCACGCCGUAAACGAUGAGUGCUAAGUGUUGGGGGGUUUCCGCCCCUCAGUGCUGCAGCUAACGCAUUAAGCA